UACGUAGGGUGCGAGCGUUGUUCGGAAUUACUGGGCGUAAAGGGCGCGUAGGCGGCCCGUCAAGUCCCGUGUGAAAGCCCCCGGCUCAACCGGGGAACGGCGCGGGAAACUAGCAGGCUUGAGUUCGCGAGAGGGAAGCGGAAUUCCGGGUGUAGCGGUGAAAUGCGCAGAUAUCCGGAGGAACACCGGUGGCGAAGGCGGCUUCCUGGACAGACACUGACGCUGAGGCGCGAAAGCUAGGGGAUCAAACGGG
RNAcentral lists this ribosomal RNA (253 nucleotides) under uncultured bacterium. RNAcentral's name for it is "partial 16S ribosomal RNA". It matches the Rfam family "Bacterial small subunit ribosomal RNA", at positions 524 to 776 of the family's 1533-position model. The record is from RNAcentral.